This 318-nucleotide ribosomal RNA is filed under the name Triticum aestivum (bread wheat). RNAcentral's name for it is "partial small subunit ribosomal RNA". The record is from RNAcentral. Lineage: Eukaryota; Viridiplantae; Streptophyta; Magnoliopsida; Poales; Poaceae.
AUGGAUCACAACCUAGGCAUCAUUUUCUGGAACGUGCGUGGGCUAAAUAGUCGUGCCAAGCGCACCGUUGUCCACACGAUCAUAUCCUCUGAUGAACCUUGUAUUGCAUGCCUCUCAGAAACGAAACUUGAUUCAGUCUUGUUGUCAUAUGUUAUGGAAACCUUGGGUGCCCCAUUUCAAUACUUCUACUUUCUCCCGGCUGACGGCACUAGAGGUGGCAUUCUUCUUGCAUGGCGUGCAGAUCGCCCUGCGCAAUCCUAUCAUGGGCCUUUACCACGUCGCUACUGCAGGAUGCUGCUAAUGCGACACUACGAUUAG